Molecule: unclassified non-coding RNA, 285 nt
Filed under: fungal sp.
Lineage: Eukaryota; Fungi
Also listed under: 1 other name
Description: partial internal transcribed spacer region
Rfam family: Eukaryotic small subunit ribosomal RNA (bases 1-46)
Source: RNAcentral
AAGUCGUAACAAGGUUUCCGUAGGUGAACCUGCGGAAGGAUCAUUACAAAUAGAGGGGAUCUGGUUGUUGGUGGGAAUGGGGUAAGGGUUAGAGUGCUAGAGUGCUAUAGAGUGCUUUGCCUCUACUUUACUCUGCCUGCCUGGCCAGACCACAUUAGCACGGGGGGGGGCUGACUCGCACAGAGCUAGCUAGCUACCUACCCCGAUGUUUACGCUUGUUUGUUUGACAAAGUAACAUUGACCCAAAAUUCUAUACAACUUUUAACAAUGGAUCUCUUGGCUCUU